GUGCUCACUUCCACAGCACAUAUACUAAAAUUGAAAUGAUACAGAGAAGAUUAGCAUGAUCCCUGUGUAAGGAUGACAUGCAAAUUCAUGAAGCAUUCCAUGUUUUU
This 107-nucleotide small nuclear RNA is filed under the name Chinchilla lanigera (long-tailed chinchilla). The record is from RNAcentral. Lineage: Eukaryota; Metazoa; Chordata; Mammalia; Rodentia; Chinchillidae.